This 80-nucleotide transfer RNA is filed under the name Aeginetia indica. RNAcentral describes it as "tRNA-Leu". It matches the Rfam family "tRNA". Rfam says of the family: Transfer RNA (tRNA) molecules are approximately 80 nucleotides in length. Their secondary structure includes four short double-helical elements and three loops (D, anti-codon, and T loops). RNAcentral also lists the same sequence under 1 other name. Lineage: Eukaryota; Viridiplantae; Streptophyta; Magnoliopsida; Lamiales; Orobanchaceae. The record is from RNAcentral.
GCUGUUAUGAUGAAAUUGGUAGACAUGUUGCUUUUAGACAGCAAUAUUAAAAAAUCUCGGUUCGAGUCCGAGUAACAGCA